RNAcentral lists this ribosomal RNA (460 nucleotides) under uncultured bacterium. RNAcentral's name for it is "partial 16S ribosomal RNA". It matches the Rfam family "Bacterial small subunit ribosomal RNA", at positions 338 to 795 of the family's 1533-position model. The record is from RNAcentral.
CCUACGGGGUGCAGCAGUGAGGAAUAUUGGUCAAUGGGCGCGAGCCUGAACCAGCCAAGUCGCGUGAGGGAGGACGGCCCUACGGGUUGUAAACCUCUUUUGCCGGGGAGCAACGGGCGCCACGUGUGGCGUCACUGAGAGUACCCGGAGAAAAAGCAUCGGCUAACUCCGUGCCAGCAGCCGCGGUAAUACGGAGGAUGCGAGCGUUAUCCGGAUUUAUUGGGUUUAAAGGGAGCGUAGGCGGGACUGCAAGUUGGGUGUCAAAUCUACCGGCUCAACCGGUAGCCGCACUCAAAACUGCAGUUCUUGAGUGAAGUAGAGGCAGGCGGAAUUCCUAGUGUAGCGGUGAAAUGCGUAGAUAUUAGGAGGAACACCAGUGGCGAAGGCGGCCUGCUGGGCUUUUACUGACGCUGAGGCUCGAAAGUGUGGGGAGCAAACAGGAUUAGAUACCCCAGUAGUC